This 206-nucleotide long non-coding RNA is filed under the name Nicotiana benthamiana. RNAcentral's name for it is "long non-coding RNA (NBEN_LNC028307)". The record is from RNAcentral. Lineage: Eukaryota; Viridiplantae; Streptophyta; Magnoliopsida; Solanales; Solanaceae.
UGGCAGGGCUAUCCUUAGAUGAUGUGUGUAUUGGAUUGUGUCUCCCUUAUGGUAGUUAUUUAUGGUAGUUACUGUCUGAUAUUAUUGCAUGCUAUUUUAUUUAUGGUUCUUAUGCUUAGAGAAUUAUUUACGCUGUUUCUGCUGAAGCUACUAAUGUUCUUUUGUUGUUGUUUUUGUUUUUGUUGUUCUUUUCCUUCACUGAGCCG